This 414-nucleotide ribosomal RNA is filed under the name uncultured bacterium. RNAcentral describes it as "bacterial SSU rRNA". It matches the Rfam family "Bacterial small subunit ribosomal RNA", at positions 40 to 501 of the family's 1533-position model. The record is from RNAcentral.
CGGCGUGCUUAACACAUGCAAGUCGAACGAACCUUCGGGUUAGUGGCGGACGGGUGAGUAACGCGUGAGAAUCUGCCCUCAGGAGGGGGACAACAGCUGGAAACGGCUGCUAAUACCCCAUAUGCCGGGAGGUGAAAUGAAUUUCGCCUGAGGAUGAGCUCGCGUCUGAUUAGCUAGUUGGUGAGGUAAUGGCUCACCAAGGCAUCGAUCAGUAGCUGGUCUGAGAGGAUGAUCAGCCACACUGGGAUUGAGACUCGGGCCAGACUCCUACGGGAGGCAGCAGUGGGGAAUUUUCCGCACUGGCCGAAAGCCUGACGGAGCAACGCCGCGUGAGGGAUGAAGGCCUCUGGGCUGUAAACCUCUUUUAUCAAGGAAGAAGAUCUGACGGUGCUUGAUGAAUAAGCCACGGCUAAU